RNAcentral lists this transfer RNA (76 nucleotides) under Myxococcales bacterium. RNAcentral describes it as "tRNA-Arg". It matches the Rfam family "tRNA". Rfam says of the family: Transfer RNA (tRNA) molecules are approximately 80 nucleotides in length. Their secondary structure includes four short double-helical elements and three loops (D, anti-codon, and T loops). The record is from RNAcentral. RNAcentral also lists the same sequence under 1 other name. Lineage: Bacteria; Pseudomonadati; Myxococcota; Myxococcia; Myxococcales.
GUCCUCGAGGCCGAAGCGGAUCGGCGCCGGCCUCCUAAGCCGGAGCGUGCAGGUUCGAGCCCUGCCGAGGACACCA